This is a long non-coding RNA of Carlito syrichta (Philippine tarsier), 208 nucleotides long. RefSeq lists it as uncharacterized. The record is from RefSeq and is a predicted model, not a curated record. NCBI's taxonomy places the organism in Eukaryota, Metazoa, Chordata, Mammalia, Primates, Tarsiidae. The transcript is spliced from 3 exons.
ACGGUUCCGUCUGCUCUACAAAUGUUACGUGUUUUCAUCAUGACUUCUCAUGCGCACAAGAGAGCAUAUAUGUCGUAAGCUGAACUUCACAAUUGCGUGGAUCGUUUGGGAGGAUCACUGACACCUUCAAGACAACAGCCAUUUGGAGAGGUGCAUCGUGGCUCAUAAAAGACGUCGAACAGCCAGACUCGGUGGCUCAGCCUGUCAU